Molecule: long non-coding RNA, 126 nt
Organism: Sebastes umbrosus (honeycomb rockfish)
Lineage: Eukaryota; Metazoa; Chordata; Actinopteri; Perciformes; Sebastidae
Exons: 3
Source: RefSeq, a predicted model, not a curated record
AUCUUGAGCAUUAAUAUAGCAGCAAACAACCAUUUGCGAUGUAAAGAUAUAAUGGAGUAAUGUCUACCUGAGCAGAGAAUGAAGUCACUCUCAUAUGACCAAUGUCUGUGUUGGAAUAACUCUGUG